Molecule: transfer RNA, 63 nt
Filed under: Cucujoidea sp. 42 KM-2017
Lineage: Eukaryota; Metazoa; Arthropoda; Insecta; Coleoptera
Description: tRNA-Phe
Source: RNAcentral
AUUUAUAUAGCUUAUAGAGAGCAUAAUAUUGAAGAUAUUAAGGAAAUUUUAAAUUUAUAAAUA